RNAcentral lists this ribosomal RNA (253 nucleotides) under uncultured bacterium. RNAcentral describes it as "partial 16S ribosomal RNA". It matches the Rfam family "Bacterial small subunit ribosomal RNA", at positions 524 to 776 of the family's 1533-position model. The record is from RNAcentral.
UACGUAGGGUCCGAGCGUUGUCCGGAAUUAUUGGGCGUAAAGGGCUCGUAGGCGGUCUGUUGCGUCGGGAGUGAAAACUUACAGCUUAACUGUGAGCGUGCUUCCGAUACGGGCAGACUUGAGGUAUUCAGGGGAGAACGGAAUUCCUGGUGCAGCGGUGAAAUGCGUAGAUAUCGAGAGGAACACCUGCGGCGAAGGCGGGUUGCUGGGCCGACACUGACGCUGAUGCGCGAAAGCCAGGGGAGCGAACGGG